This 240-nucleotide ribosomal RNA is filed under the name uncultured bacterium. Its description in RNAcentral is "partial 16S ribosomal RNA". It matches the Rfam family "Bacterial small subunit ribosomal RNA", at positions 28 to 253 of the family's 1533-position model. The record is from RNAcentral.
AGUGAACGCUGGCGGCAGGCCUAACACAUGCAAGUCGAGCGGCAGCGGGUCCCCGCGAGGGGAUGCCGGCGAGCGGCGGACGGGUGAGGAACACAUCGGAAUCUGCCUGGUUGUGGGGGAUAACGUAGGGAAACUUACGCUAAUACCGCAUGAGACCCUGAGUCGACGGACUGGGGGUGAAAGUGAGGGACCUUGGGCCUCACGCGACCAGAUGAGCCGAUGUCGGAUUAGCUAGUUGGC